This 314-nucleotide ribosomal RNA is filed under the name Burkholderia sp. RNAcentral's name for it is "bacterial SSU rRNA". It matches the Rfam family "Bacterial small subunit ribosomal RNA", at positions 1017 to 1338 of the family's 1533-position model. Lineage: Bacteria; Pseudomonadati; Pseudomonadota; Betaproteobacteria; Burkholderiales; Burkholderiaceae. The record is from RNAcentral.
CCGAAAGGGAACUGAUACACAGGUGUGCAUGGCGUCGUCAGCUCGUGUCGUGAGAUGUUGGGUUAAGUCCCGCAACGAGCGCAACCCUUGUCCCUAGUUGCUACGCAAGAGCACUCUAGGGAGACUGCCGGUGACAAACCGGAGGAAGGUGGGGAUGACGUCAAGUCCUCAUGGCCCUUAUGGGUAGGGCUUCACACGUCAUACAAUGGUCGGAACAGAGGGUCGCCAACCCGCGAGGGGGAGCCAAUCCCAGAAAACCGAUCGUAGUCCGGAUCGCACUCUGCAACUCGAGUGCGUGAAGCGGGAAUCGCUAG